GACGAACGCUGGCGGCGUGCUUAACACAUGCAAGUCGAACGGAAAGGCCCCUUUGGGGGUACUCGAGUGGCGAACGGGUGCGUAACACGUGAGUAACCUGCCCUUGACUUCGGGAUAACUUCAGGAAACUGGGGCUAAUACCGGAUAGGAAUCCUUGCUGCAUGGUGGGGGUUGGAAAGCUUCGGCGGUUUUGGAUGGACUCGCGGCUUAUCAGCUUGUUGGUGGGGUAGUGGCUUACCAAGGCUUUGACGGGUAGCCGGCCUGAGAGGGCGACCGGCCACAUUGGGACUGAGAGACGGCCCAGACUCCUACGGGAGGCAGCAGUGGGGAAUAUUGCACAAUGGGCGGAAGCCGGAUGCAGAAACGCCGCGGGCGGGAGGACGGCCUUCGGGUUGUAAAACGCUUUCAGCAGGGGCGAAGCUUGUGGUGACGGUACCUGCAGAAGAAGCACCGGCUAACUACGUG
This 465-nucleotide ribosomal RNA is filed under the name uncultured bacterium. Its description in RNAcentral is "partial 16S ribosomal RNA". It matches the Rfam family "Bacterial small subunit ribosomal RNA", at positions 28 to 507 of the family's 1533-position model. The record is from RNAcentral.